GUCGUCAGGCAGGACAGACGUCCUGGGAGUUCUCAGCUCAGCAGGAGUUAUUUUCACGUAGAAGACAUGCUGCAUUCCCUUACUCCAGCCCGGGCAAAUUCACACAUGUUGGGUUGCAUGGUGCAAGCUUUUGUAAAAGACAUUUCAAGGUAAGUAACAUUUGAUUUACAAAUAACAGUUCUACCAAAGCAAAGCAUUUGUGCUAGUCACCUGUACACUCAAAAAAAUGAAUGAGGUGGAUUGUUCAGUGUAUAUUAAUUAUUUAUUUUCAUUUUACUUAAAAUAUAUGUUUUUGUUAAGUUAACAUAUGUUUUUCUAAUCAAGUCUACGUAAUUGUGUCUAUUAUUCAACGUACAUAAUACUAAUGUGUUACUUGAUCGCAUAACAUUUAAGUUAAGUCAAUUAGGAUCGAUAUACCUUGUAUAUCCACAAGGUGGCAGUAAUGCAAAAACAGUUGUAAUGAAACCGCGCAGAACAAGAAGGUUUCACGGCUUGUGCCUGCUCAUGCGCAAGACUUCAAAUUUAACUGAAAAAGGCUGUUUUGGCGCCAAGCUACUGUUUCUUUGAGAGAUCCUGCCUUUACCUGCUCCCUCCUAUACUGAUGUGGUGUAUGUGGUAUUGCUGAGCUUGUAUGUGGUGGAAGCAGAAUAUGUGAGGAUUACUACUGCUGCACAUGUUCCAAGGCUUUUUACACAACUUGACCAAUACACUGACCAGCUCAUAAAAGUCUUCAAGAAAAAAGGAGGCGUUGCAGGGAAGAAAAUUAGACAAACUUUGGCCCCAGCCACACAGAAGGAAAGUAUUGAAAAGGGGAGGGAGUGUGUCCUCAGGGCACUACCUUUUUACCUGAAUGAAGACCCAAGCAUCCUCUUCAAAGAAUAAUUGCUACAGCUGUUCAGAGGGAGCUGGAACAAAUUACCCUUGCUAUCUUUACCAUCGAAAGAGCUGAUGCCAGCACUCCUCCAGCCGAUGUGGGUAUAACCAUCUAGUGUGUCCUGGAAGACCUGGCCUCUGCAUGUGCACUCUUAAUGGGUGGGAUAUAUGCACUGAAUCUCAGUUAACCUCAAGACUGAAAGCUUUCUUUGAAGUACUUCAGAAGCUCUUCCUUCAUCUGUAUGUCAGCAUACUCUUGACCAAGGUACAGUUGCUCAAGAAUACACUGAAUGAAUAAGCCAACCUUUAAUUUGGAUGAUGAAUGUUCUGUCAGAUGGACAGAAGUUUUUCGGAGGCUGAAUGGGAAUAAAAUGGUAAUUUGUAAAUGACAGAUAACGGGAAAAUUACAUUUAAGAGAAAUUUAGAACAUUUUGAAAAGUUUGUAAACUACUACAAUUUGAGAGAUUUUACUGUUGUGGGG
Astatotilapia calliptera (eastern happy) is the source of this 1354-nucleotide long non-coding RNA. NCBI's taxonomy places the organism in Eukaryota, Metazoa, Chordata, Actinopteri, Cichliformes, Cichlidae. The record is from Ensembl.